UACACUAAUCUAUUCAGAUUAGUCAUCAUUCCCAUGAUGAUCUUAUGACUAGGAGCAAUUUAGGAAUUAACUAUUAAUGACACAUGUUUCAAAUUUUCAACUCUUUAAGAAUAUGUGUCAUUAUUUUGUUAAUUCUUUGGAUGAUUCAUGGAUAAAUAAACAUGAAUGAUAAUAUAACUAUCCAAUAAGUAUAAAAUCAUGUCCUAGAGAUAUGAAAUGUGUC
RNAcentral lists this long non-coding RNA (223 nucleotides) under Elaeis guineensis (African oil palm). RNAcentral's name for it is "long non-coding RNA (EGUI_LNC067673)". Lineage: Eukaryota; Viridiplantae; Streptophyta; Magnoliopsida; Arecales; Arecaceae. The record is from RNAcentral.